AACGAACGCUGGCGGCAUGCCUAAUACAUGCAAGUCGAACGAGAUCUUCGGAUCUAGUGGCGCACGGGUGCGUAACGCGUGGGAAUCUGCCCUUGGGUUCGGAAUAACUUCUGGAAACGGACGCUAAUACCGGAUGAUGACGUAAGUCCAAAGAUUUAUCGCCCAAGGAUGAGCCCGCGUAGGAUUAGGUAGUUGGUGAGGUAAAGGCUCACCAAGCCGACGAUCCUUAGCUGGUCUGAGAGGAUGCUCAGCCACACUGGGACUGGGACCCGGCCCAGACUCCUACGGGAGGCAGCAGUAGUGGAUAUUGGACAAUGGGCGAGAGCCUGAUCCAGCGAUGCCGCGUGAGUGAUGAAGGCCUUAGGGUUGUAAAGCUCUUUUACCCGGGCUGAUAAUGACAGUACCGGGAUAAUAAGCUCCGGCUAACUCCGUG
RNAcentral lists this ribosomal RNA (433 nucleotides) under uncultured bacterium. RNAcentral's name for it is "partial 16S ribosomal RNA". It matches the Rfam family "Bacterial small subunit ribosomal RNA", at positions 29 to 507 of the family's 1533-position model. The record is from RNAcentral.